GCUCUUGUAGCACAGUGGCAGUGCGACCGCUCGAUAAGCGGUUGACGCAGGUUCGAUUCCUGACUGGAGCACCA
This 74-nucleotide transfer RNA is filed under the name Bradyrhizobium sp. 41S5. RNAcentral's name for it is "tRNA-Ile". It matches the Rfam family "tRNA". From Rfam's summary of the family: Transfer RNA (tRNA) molecules are approximately 80 nucleotides in length. Their secondary structure includes four short double-helical elements and three loops (D, anti-codon, and T loops). Lineage: Bacteria; Pseudomonadati; Pseudomonadota; Alphaproteobacteria; Hyphomicrobiales; Nitrobacteraceae. The record is from RNAcentral.